RNAcentral lists this transfer RNA (64 nucleotides) under Dianemobius furumagiensis. RNAcentral describes it as "tRNA-His". The record is from RNAcentral. Lineage: Eukaryota; Metazoa; Arthropoda; Insecta; Orthoptera; Trigonidiidae.
AUUUAAUUAGUUUAAAAAUGAAUAUUGAUUUGUGGAGUCAAAGGAGAAAGGUUUUCAUUAAAUA